AUCCAUGCGUGUCACUGUGUAUCAGUGUUUGUGUCAGUGUGUAUCCAUGUGUGUCACUGUGUAUCUGUGUAUGUGUCUAUCCAUGUGUCACUGUGUAUCUGUGUCAGUAUGUGUGUGUCAACGUGUAUUUAUGUCAGUAUAUGUGUGUGUAACUUGGUGUGGCAGUGUGUACGUGUAUCUGGGUCAGUAUGUAUGUGUGGCAGUGUAUAUGUUCACACAUUCCAGCUUUCAAACACCAACACAAUACACAAACACACCACUGCAUUCAAAUGGCAACAAUACAUACAAAUACACUACUACAUUCACACACAUACUACAUACAAAAACAUACUUACAUUCAAAGGCACAAAAACUGCUCACAAACACAACCCUGCAAAUGGGCAAAUGGUAGAUACCCAGCUGGCAAAGUAUUGUGGGAGUUGCACAACAGUUAAGAAUCCAACUUUUGGCUAAAGUGGGGGAUCCUUUCUUGUACCGGGGCCCUCUCUACAUUAGUUCUGGGAGAAUUCCUGCUGAUUUAUACUUUGGUGAAUAAGCCCUGUCAGCAUCAACUUCAGG
Non-coding RNA from Pelobates cultripes (western spadefoot toad), 558 nucleotides. The record is from the annotation of a GenBank genome assembly. NCBI's taxonomy places the organism in Eukaryota, Metazoa, Chordata, Amphibia, Anura, Pelobatidae.